AAAAAAAAAAAAAAAAUGAUUAGUUAUUAGUUAAUAAAUAUACUACCACUAACAAAGUGGGAUAGAUUAUUCAUGUAAAAUAGCAAAUAUAUAGGGCUGAUCCAAAGCUAAAAAUCAACAUUUGAACAUGUAUUAUAUGUCAAUUGCCACAACUUGUCAAAAAGAAAGCAACAAGAUAGACUCCUUGGUAAGAGAAAAUAUGAAUAAUUGUAACCAUUGUUUCAUGUAUAGUGGACACAGCGUGUUAAAAUUAAGAGCACAUAUCACCAAGUGAAGUAAUGAAAUCAUAGAUUUCUUUAGUCUUUUCCGACUCAUCUGAUUUGUCCUUCAAAUACCUGCCACUGUCUUUCCAGGUCGAGCAGGCCCCAGGAGUAU
Molecule: unclassified non-coding RNA, 375 nt
Filed under: Hevea brasiliensis (rubber tree)
Lineage: Eukaryota; Viridiplantae; Streptophyta; Magnoliopsida; Malpighiales; Euphorbiaceae
Source: RNAcentral